This is a long non-coding RNA of Phacochoerus africanus (Common warthog), 763 nucleotides long. RefSeq lists it as uncharacterized. Lineage: Eukaryota; Metazoa; Chordata; Mammalia; Artiodactyla; Suidae. The transcript has 3 exons. The record is from RefSeq and is a predicted model, not a curated record.
AUGAUGACCAAAAAUGUCUCCAAACAUUGCCAAGCAUCUUCUGAGGGACAGACUUGCCCCAGGAUGAAAACCACAGGUCUAUCCUCGGGCUAAAAAGGGUAGUGUCUUCUCACAUCCCCAGUACAGUGGGGAUCACCGUUCUAUAUCACGCUGCUCAGACACUGAUCACUCUUCCCUCCAGUUUCAACUUCCUAAUGAAAUCCAGCAGGCAUCUCCUCGUCAAUCCCUCUUCAACAUCAGAGACUUGAGGCUGCCUUGGCUCCUCGAGGAUUGAAGCGAAAUAUUGAAGAGGAACAAAGGCAGGAGAAAUUUUUCUUUAUCAGUGCUGAUGUAAUCUGACAUGGGUUUCCUUUGGGCAUAAUGAAAGCAAUCUUCCAAAAUACUAAGAUCACCACUGCGCUGAAGUCUCAGGAUGACCCGUAAAGUUGGGUACUGAGGCAGUACCCUGAGGAGGAGAGAAUCCUGGCACUGCCCCCUCUGGGGGUCAGAGGGACCGCUCAGUGGAGAGUGGGUGAAGAGUGCCUUCCAGCUCACAAGCCCUUUACCAAAGCGGUGGGAGCGCCUAAGGACCUUGGAUCUUAAUCUUUUAUUUCUUAGUAUCUGCAGAUAUAAUCUCUUCUAAUAUCUUUUUCUUUCUCAAACUCACAGCAUAUAUCAGAAGGCAAACUACAUGGCUGAUCCACAGGCCAGUGUGGACUGCCAAAAUGCCCCUUAACACUGACAAAGCGUUUCUUUUCGUUUUCCUUUUAUUGAAGUACAGUUA